GGGGCAGUAGCUCAGAUGGUAGAGCAAUGAUCACUUUCCGCUGCUGGCAGACAAAGUUCCUAUUGGUACAUGGGUCACAGGUUCGAUUCCUGUCUGCUCCA
RNAcentral lists this transfer RNA (101 nucleotides) under Chryseobacterium shigense. RNAcentral describes it as "tRNA_Ala_AGC". It matches the Rfam family "tRNA". Rfam says of the family: Transfer RNA (tRNA) molecules are approximately 80 nucleotides in length. The record is from RNAcentral. Lineage: Bacteria; Pseudomonadati; Bacteroidota; Flavobacteriia; Flavobacteriales; Weeksellaceae.